RNAcentral lists this ribosomal RNA (247 nucleotides) under uncultured bacterium. Its description in RNAcentral is "partial 16S ribosomal RNA". It matches the Rfam family "Bacterial small subunit ribosomal RNA", at positions 524 to 768 of the family's 1533-position model. The record is from RNAcentral.
UACGAAGGGGGCUAGCGUUGUUCGGAUUUACUGGGCGUAAAGCGCACGUAGGCGGAUUGUUAAGUCAGGGGUGAAAUCCCGGAGCUCAACUCCGGAACUGCCUUUGAUACUGGGACAUCUAGAGUCCGGGAGAGGUGAGUGGAACUCUGAGUGUAGAGGUGAAAUUCGUAGAUAUUAGGCAAGAACACCAGUGGCGAAGGCGGCUCACUGGCCCGGUACUGACGCUGAGGUGCGAAAGCGUGGGGAG